This 946-nucleotide ribosomal RNA is filed under the name uncultured bacterium. RNAcentral's name for it is "bacterial SSU rRNA". It matches the Rfam family "Bacterial small subunit ribosomal RNA", at positions 577 to 1522 of the family's 1533-position model. The record is from RNAcentral.
GGCGCGGUAAGUCAGAUGUGAAAUCCCGGGGCUCAACCCCGGAACUGCAUCCGAUACUGCCGUGCUCGAGCAUUGGAGAGGUAGCUGGAAUUCUUGGUGUAGCAGUGAAAUGCGUAGAGAUCAAGAGGAACACUCGUGGCGAAAGCGAGCUACUGGACAAUUGCUGACGCUGAGGCUCGAAGGCUAGGGUAGCGAAAGGGAUUAGAUACCCCUGUAGUCCUAGCAGUAAACGGUGCACGCUUGGUGUGAGGGGAAUCGACCCCCCUUGUGCCGGAGCUAACGCGUUAAGCGUGCCGCCUGGGAAGUACGGUCGCAAGACUAAAACUCAAAGAAAUUGACGGGGACCCGCACAAGCGGUGGAGUAUGUGGCUUAAUUCGAUGCAACGCGAAGAACCUUACCAAGGCUUGACAUGCAUCUCUAAACACGUGAAAGCGUGUGACCCUUCGGGGAAUUUGCACAGGUGCUGCAUGGCCGUCGUCAGCUCGUGUCGUGAGAUGUUGGGCUAAGUCCCGCAACGAGCGCAACCCUUGUGAUUAGUUGCCAGCACGUUAAGGUGGGAACUCUAGUCAGACUGCCCAGAUCAACUGGGAGGAAGGUGGGGACGACGUCAGGUCAGUAUGGCCCUUACGCCUUGGGCUGCACACGUACUACAAUGCCCAGCACAAUGAGAACCGAGACCGCGAGGUGGAGGAAAUCUGCAAAACUGGGCUCAGUUCGGAUUGGAGGCUGCAACUCGCCUCCAUGAAGUUGGAAUCGCUAGUAAUGCCGUAUCAUCUACGACGGCGUGAAUACGUUCCCGGGUCUUGUACACACCGCCCGUCACAUCAUGGAAGCCGGUCGCACCCGAAGUGCCCGUACCAACCGCAAGGGGGUAGGGUCCUAAGGUGUAGCUGGUAACUGGGAUGAAGUCGUAACAAGGUAGCCGUAAAUUCCCGCGGCCAAANA